GACGGAAGGUGCAAGCGUUGUUCGGAUUUACUGGGCGUAAAGGGCGCGUAGGUGGCGUCGCAAGUCGAUGGUGAAAGCUCGCCGCUCAACGGCGAGUCGGCCACCGAUACUGCGAGGCUGGAGCACUGUAGAGGCUAAUGGAAUUCCGGGUGUAGCGGUGGAAUGCGUAGAGAUCCGGAAGAACACCGGUGGCGAAGGCGGUUAGCUGGGCAGUUGCUGACACUGAGGCGCGACAGCGUGGGGAGCAAACAGG
RNAcentral lists this ribosomal RNA (253 nucleotides) under uncultured bacterium. Its description in RNAcentral is "partial 16S ribosomal RNA". It matches the Rfam family "Bacterial small subunit ribosomal RNA", at positions 524 to 776 of the family's 1533-position model. The record is from RNAcentral.